GUUUCAAUUGUAUAUCUUGUAUCUCAUUUUCAGAACUUAGAGGCAAGAAGCUUCUUGAGUGUGAGAAAAGAGUUUAACAGGAAGAAAAGCAAACAGUCAUAACCACUUAUUUAUCAACGCCGUCGCUGGCUACUGCAGCUCUUACCAGCUCUACUGGUAAGCAACGCUGGAAAAAUUGGUAAAGAGGCAAGUUGAAAUGUUCGAACAGCAGUUUUGGGAAUUCUCCAGCACUCAUCAGCAUGACUCUUCUACACACCGAGCUUCCCAGUCAGUGAGGAGGCAGAGUCAUUUGCUGGAACAGCAGUCUUGGGAAUUCUCUAGCUCUCUGCAACAUGACUCUUCUACACACCGAGCUUCCCAGUAAGUCCAGUCUUUUUCAUAGACCCACGGUCUAUUAUUUCAUGUUAGCUAAUUAGUAAUGCUAAUUGGAUUUCAAAUCAAUUAGCAAAAUGUUGUUGAUUGUCAUUUCAAUCUAUAAUUAAUAGAUUUGUAUUAGAAUCCCCUCUUGCGACCCAGAAAUUAAGACUGUUCCAGCCAACUCCAUCACCAGCAUCUCUGUUUGAUUUCUCAGGUCAGUAAAGAGGCAGGAUCACUUGCUAGAACAGCAGUCUUGGGAAUUCUCUAGCACUCUGCAACAUGACUCUUCUACACACCAGGCUACCCAGUAAGUCCAAACUCUUUCAUUUUUAGACUUCUGUAGUCCCAUUAAAUAGACUCAUUAAUUGCACACACCUG
Pygocentrus nattereri (red-bellied piranha) is the source of this 735-nucleotide long non-coding RNA. Lineage: Eukaryota; Metazoa; Chordata; Actinopteri; Characiformes; Serrasalmidae. The record is from Ensembl.